CAAGAAAGAAGAUUCCACCUAAACAUUAGGAAGAGCUUCCUGACAGUAAGAGCUGUUCGGCAGUGGAAUUUGCUGCCAAGAAGUGUGGUGGAGUCUCCUUCUUUGGAGGUCUUUAAGCAGAGGCUUGACAGCCAUAUGUCAAGAAUGCUUUGAAGGUGUUUCCUGCUUGGACUGGGUGGCCCUUGUGGUCUCUUCCAAUUCUAUGAUUCUAUGUGAAGUACCAUGCAGACAUUUGAAUUUGGGUGGGGGAUUGCUCUAGAGCCCUAUGGGGGCACCAGGCACACGAAAGGAAGAGAGACCUUAAUCCUGCUGGCCCUUUUAUCCCAACUGUGCUGCCCCUCUCCACUGUACAGAGGACAUCCAUAGAGGGGAGCCUGCUUUAUGUACAUAUGCUUCCCCCCCCCUAAUUGCAUCAUUGUUCAAAAUUUGCCAUGCACAUUUUGCCCCUGGCUAUAGGCCACUUGCGAUCAAGUGAAGAUGCCCAGGUGCCAGGACAGCACCCGACGUCUCCACCAUCUGGAGGUGCAUGCCUUGGAUUCGGACUGUUUUCACACGUUUAGCAACACACCCUUUAGAAUUUGAUCUGUUAUACAGUGGUACCUCGGUUUAAGUACACAAUUGGUUCCGGAAGUCUGUACUUAACCUGAAGCGAACUUUCCCAUUGAAAGUAAUGGAAAGUGGAUUAAUCCGUUCCAGACGGGUCAGCGGAGUACUUAAACUGAAAGUACGCAAACCGAAGCGUACUUAAACCGAGGUAUGACUGUAUUUUAUCCGCACAAUCAGAAUGAAUUUCAGGAACCAAAAAGUCGUAUCGGGGAAAAUACGACUUUUGAACUGCCUGUCCCCAAAAUGGCAACUUAAGGCAUUCCAUUAUGCCGAGUGGUUUUUGCCAAGCAGUGUUGUCACUGGUGUUUUGAAACAAAAGACAGAACAGCCUAGUCAGCCAUGGAAGUGUCCAUUCUUGAGUGUGCGCGUGCUCACCAGCUGCUCCAAAUUCCAUGACAUAGGAAUCAAAUUGGGAGCAUUAUUUGUAAAAGGGCAUUCUUACUAUUUUUACAGUUUGGUUUUUUGUGUGAACAAGAUGUUCCUAGCAGGGUAUUUCCUUGUUAUCUUUGCAAAGGCGUUAACGUGUUGUUUCACACACACACACACACACACACACGGCACAGUAAGUUUUUCCACAUUAAACCCCUUGCGACAGCUAGCCUGCCCUAGCUUACAUUUACCCUAAGAGAACACUGCUUCAGUGGAACUCUUGCUAAGGACAGCAGAUAGCAGAGAUCGCAUGUUCCACCCAAGUUGGCGUUACCACCUUGCAAUGGAAUGUGUUGCUUUGCUUCCAGUGAAUCUCUCCCAGCCUCGCUCUGACAUUCAAGCUGCUCUGUGGCUGACGCUUUUAAACUUGGAAGCUCUUUACCCAGCACGCAGCUAAAGUCCUGCGGAUUGUUUUCUCUCUCCUUACCGCUGCUCCCUGGAGCGUUCUGUUGCUGCUGCUGGGCUGUUGUGUUUUUUAAUACAUAUAUAUAUGGAAUUCCAAAGCAGGGGGCACUCCUAUGCCAUUCCAGAGAACGAAGAAAUCUCGCACACCCAUCAGAAUGUGCACAACGACCACGAAAAUGAAGGCGAGAGAGCUGUGUCAAAAUUGCAACGCAGGCACAGUGACGUAAAAGUAUACAAAGAAAUAUGUGACUUUUAUGCAAGAUUCAACAUGGCCAACGCUCUGGCCAAUGCCAUGUGUGAGCGCUGCCGGGGAGGUUUCGCACCUGCGGAGAAGAUUGUGAACAGCAAUGGCGAGCUGUAUCACGAACAGUGUUUCGUGUGUGCCCAGUGCUUCCAGCAGUUCCCCGAAGGGCUUUUUUAUGAGUUUGAAGGAAGGAAAUAUUGUGAACAUGACUUUCAGAUGCUUUUUGCUCCUUGCUGCCAUCAGUGUGGAGAGUUCAUUAUUGGUCGUGUUAUUAAAGCUAUGAACAACAGCUGGCAUCCAGAAUGUUUCUGCUGUGAUAUCUGCCAACAGGUAUUGGCAGACAUUGGAUUUGUGAAGAAUGCUGGCAGACACCUUUGCCGUCCUUGCCACAAUCGUGAGAAAGCCAGGGGCAUGGGCAAAUACAUUUGCCAAAAGUGCCAUGCUAUCAUCGAAGAACAACCCCUCAUCUUCAAAAAUGACCCUUACCACCCUGAUCACUUCAACUGUGCCAAUUGCGGAAAGGAACUAACUGCUGACGCCCGAGAACUGAAGGGGGAACUGUACUGCUUGCCUUGCCAUGACAAAAUGGGCGUCCCCAUCUGUGGAGCAUGCAGGAGGCCAAUUGAAGGACGAGUGGUGAAUGCAAUGGGCAAACAGUGGCAUGUGGAGCAUUUUGUUUGUGCGAAGUGUGAGAAGCCAUUCCUAGGCCACCGUCACUACGAGAGGAAGGGGCUGGCGUAUUGUGAGACCCACUACAACCAGCUCUUUGGUGAUGUUUGCUUCCACUGUAAUCGUGUGAUUGAAGGAGAUGUUGUGUCGGCAUUGAACAAGGCAUGGUGCGUGAACUGCUUCGCGUGCUCUACUUGCAACACUAAGCUAACACUCAAGGACAAGUUUGUUGAAAUCGAUCUCAAACCUGUCUGCAAACACUGUUACGAGAAAAUGCCGGAAGAAUUUAAGAGGAGGCUCGCCAAACGGGAGCGAGAAGCAAAGGAUAAAGACAAACAGAAAAAGAAAAAGCCUGUCUGCCUGUAAACAUGCUUUCUUCCUACCUCCCAGCAACUGCGCUCCUUCCUUUCUUCCUUUCGAAACAAGUUUGUGGAAUUUGAUAUGAAGCCUGUCUGCAAGAAGUGCUAUGAGAAGUUUCCACUGGAGCUCAAGAAGCGACUGAAGAAAUUGGCUGAGACGUUGGGAAGAAAGUGAGGUCCUCCUCUCCAGAUCUCAUCUUGCUGUGCAAAGUUUAGGAAGUGAUAUUACAGACUUAUUUUUGUUGAGUCUAUGAAACCUAAGUGCAAAAAAGAGAGAGUAUUCCUCUGCAUGACUAGCUUCAUAUUAAAAUGUUUGCCUCGCUACCUUGACAGUAUACCUCUAAAAAACUCUUUACAUGUUAUGUAACCUCAUAUCCAACCAUUUAAAAAAAUCUGUAUUUUACACGUAUAUAAAUUUGUAGAUAUAUACAUUGUAUAUUUGCUUAGUAAGGGGCAACUGAAAAAGACCCAAAUUGGUGCUGAAUAGCCUAAUUUAACAUAUCUAGCAGAUCCCCUCACCAAGUAGACCAAACCUCAUUUUACACUAAACUCUGGCAUUGUUUGUUCUGCCAUGCAAGCGAAGCACAUGGUCUGUUCAAGCAAAUACCCUGAGGCUGCAAUUCUAUACAGACUUACCCAGGAGUAUGUACCAUUAAAUUCUGUGGGACUUCUUAGUAGACAUAUGUAGGAUUGAUUGCACAGCCAAACCCCAACAAAGGUGUUUGGCUGGAUCGUGGCAGUAGAAUUGAAUUGCUUCCGACACAUAGACAUUCUUGGUCUUGAGCUCAAUGUCUUCUACCAGUGUUCUUGUGGCAUAAGUGAGGGAUUAGAGGAUUCUAGCUGCUAAAGUACCUUUUCCUUUGCUGUGAGCCCUGAUACAGUAUACAGUGGUGCCUUGACUUACAAAUUUAAUCCGUUCCGAAGGCACCUUCGUAGGUCGAAAAAUUCCUAAGUCGAUUUCCCAUAGGAAUGCAUUGGAAGUUGAAAAAUUCGUAAGUUGAAGCAACCCCAUCUAAAAAUUUGUAAGCUGAAAAAACCCUAUCUAAAACCGCCGCUUCCGUUCGGGUGUCGAGAAAUUCGUAAGUGUGCGGCCAUUUGCCCCAUUCGUAAGUUGAAAAAUUCGGUUGCCGAAUCGUCCGUAAGUCGAGGUACCACUGUACGUUAAAAAUUAGGAGUCCAAUGCACACACUUCAUGUUACUGAAGCAAGGAGUUAUUGUUGCUUGAAGUCUGUUUGCAAACUAUUGCUGUUGCCCUGAGGAAAACUUUAAAAAACGAAACGAACUAGCAUUCUCAACAUUAGAAGUCCAUAUUCUGCCAGGAAGCCUUGUUGAUCAUGCCUGCUAACUUACCAGAAAGAACUCUAAAUGUCCAAGACUGCAGUCUUAUAUCCACUCAUCUGGAAGCAAGCCCUAGUGAACUGAGUGGGUUUACUUUUGAGUAGACACAUCUAGAAUUGCAUUGUAAAUUACAGAGAUUCCAUUCUUCACAGCUCCUUGGAUGCGAAUCAUAGCGAAGCCUAUACAACAAAUGCUUUGUUCAGAGAUUAAUAGUGUUUGUAAUUAAUUGGUGUGAGCAGAGUCUUGGCUGUCGUUCUCAAAGAACUACAGAAAGACAACUCUGGGAUGCGUCGUUAGAAGACUGCGGCUCAGAGCUGGAAACGGCAGCAUAAUAGUUCUAUAUCAUGAGAAAUAUGUCUACGCAGAGCUACUUGAAUUUUGUGGAUUCCUUCUAUGUAACAGAGAUAUUCCUCUGUGCUUUUGUAUUUCAUUUCCUUGUCGUGCCUUAUUCUGCCAUACUUAAAGCAAUAUUAGUCAAAAUAUGUACCCUUUGUAUACUGUUAUUUUGUAUUUUUAUGCAGAAAAUAUAUGCCCAGUAUUUGAAAAGGUUAAGCAUUUUUAAGAUUUGGUUUUUUUCCCUAAUGAUGGAAGAUGCUUGAGUUUUUCAAAAACACAUUUUCCGACUCAGCUUGGUUAUUUUUAAAUAGUAUCUGAAAUAGAAAUCUGAAAGCACCCUUGUUCCCACUGAAUGCCUCUUGUGCCACUAGGUCAAUAAAAUACACUGUUAAC
Molecule: RNA transcript, 4779 nt
Organism: Zootoca vivipara (common lizard)
Lineage: Eukaryota; Metazoa; Chordata; Lepidosauria; Squamata; Lacertidae
Gene: LIMS1
Gene name: LIM zinc finger domain containing 1
Source: RefSeq, a predicted model, not a curated record